This 1132-nucleotide ribosomal RNA is filed under the name Rheinheimera mesophila. RNAcentral describes it as "bacterial SSU rRNA". It matches the Rfam family "Bacterial small subunit ribosomal RNA", at positions 1 to 1111 of the family's 1533-position model. Lineage: Bacteria; Pseudomonadati; Pseudomonadota; Gammaproteobacteria; Chromatiales; Chromatiaceae. The record is from RNAcentral.
UUUUAUGGAGAGUUUGAUCCUGGCUCAGGAUGAACGCUGGCGGCGUGCCUAAUACAUGCAAGUCGAGCGAACGGACGAGAAGCUUGCUUCUCUGAUGUUAGCGGCGGACGGGUGAGUAACACGUGGAUAACCUACCUAUAAGACUGGGAUAACUUCGGGAAACCGGAGCUAAUACCGGAUAAUAUUUUGAACCGCAUGGUUCAAAAGUGAAAGACGGUCUUGCUGUCACUUAUAGAUGGAUCCGCGCUGCAUUAGCUAGUUGGUAAGGUAACGGCUUACCAAGGCAACGAUGCAUAGCCGACCUGAGAGGGUGAUCGGCCACACUGGAACUGAGACACGGUCCAGACUCCUACGGGAGGCAGCAGUAGGGAAUCUUCCGCAAUGGGCGAAAGCCUGACGGAGCAACGCCGCGUGAGUGAUGAAGGUCUUCGGAUCGUAAAACUCUGUUAUUAGGGAAGAACAUAUGUGUAAGUAACUGUGCACAUCUUGACGGUACCUAAUCAGAAAGCCACGGCUAACUACGUGCCAGCAGCCGCGGUAAUACGUAGGUGGCAAGCGUUAUCCGGAAUUAUUGGGCGUAAAGCGCGCGUAGGCGGUUUUUUAAGUCUGAUGUGAAAGCCCACGGCUCAACCGUGGAGGGUCAUUGGAAACUGGAAAACUUGAGUGCAGAAGAGGAAAGUGGAAUUCCAUGUGUAGCGGUGAAAUGCGCAGAGAUAUGGAGGAACACCAGUGGCGAAGGCGACUUUCUGGUCUGUAACUGACGCUGAUGUGCGAAAGCGUGGGGAUCAAACAGGAUUAGAUACCCUGGUAGUCCACGCCGUAAACGAUGAGUGCUAAGUGUUAGGGGGUUUCCGCCCCUUAGUGCUGCAGCUAACGCAUUAAGCACUCCGCCUGGGGAGUACGACCGCAAGGUUGAAACUCAAAGGAAUUGACGGGGACCCGCACAAGCGGUGGAGCAUGUGGUUUAAUUCGAAGCAACGCGAAGAACCUUACCAAAUCUUGACAUCCUUUGACAACUCUAGAGAUAGAGCCUUCCCCUUCGGGGGACAAAGUGACAGGUGGUGCAUGGUUGUCGUCAGCUCGUGUCGUGAGAUGUUGGGUUAAGUCCCGCAACGAGCGCAACCCUUAAACU